RNAcentral lists this ribosomal RNA (484 nucleotides) under uncultured bacterium. Its description in RNAcentral is "partial 16S ribosomal RNA". It matches the Rfam family "Bacterial small subunit ribosomal RNA", at positions 30 to 507 of the family's 1533-position model. The record is from RNAcentral.
AUUGAACGCUGGCGGCAGGCCUAACACAUGCAAGUCGAGCGGAUGAGUGGAGCUUGCUCCAUGAUUCAGCGGCGGACGGGUGAGUAAUGCCUAGGAAUCUGCCUGGUAGUGGGGGACAACGUUUCGAAAGGAACGCUAAUACCGCAUACGUCCUACGGGAGAAAGUGGGGGAUCUUCGGACCUCACGCUAUCAGAUGAGCCUAGGUCGGAUUAGCUAGUUGGUGAGGUAAAGGCUCACCAAGGCGACGAUCCGUAACUGGUCUGAGAGGAUGAUCAGUCACACUGGAACUGAGACACGGUCCAGACUCCUACGGGAGGCAGCAGUGGGGAAUAUUGGACAAUGGGCGAAAGCCUGAUCCAGCCAUGCCGCGUGUGUGAAGAAGGUCUUCGGAUUGUAAAGCACUUUAAGUUGGGAGGAAGGGCAGUAAGUUAAUAUCUUGCUGUUUUGACGUUACCAACAGAAUAAGCACCGGCUAACUUCGUG